AAAACGGUAUAUGCAUAUUCAUUUUCGUUCAUUCUUAUAUUGUGGUUAAUAACUACGACCAUUCGUCAGCUGUGCGCUUUAAAUUACGUAUAUUGUCGAUAAGCUAUAACAUAGAUGCCAACCCCCUUUUGACACAAUCAGUAACAAACUAUCAAAUUUUCCGUAUUCUUGAAAAGUUUUCAGUAAUCAUUCAUAAACGUGCAUUUACCAAUAAAAAUUACUGACGAGUGGUUGCAAAGUGAUGUACACUAAAAUUUGUCAUUUAACAUGUUGUCUGUAGUAUGUAUUCCAUUCAUUAAUUGUUCAGAUGUUCUCGACUCAAACAUUUUUGUUUUGUCAAGGAGAAGUAGAGAAAGGGGGAAAGCUACUUAAUAAAAUGCAAGUUUGCCUCUUCGGAAGUCAGUUAGUUACCCAACAAUAGGUUGAUAACUCCCGAGAAACCGGAAGCAUUACAUUGGCGUUUCCUAAAUACU
Molecule: long non-coding RNA, 473 nt
Filed under: Mytilus galloprovincialis (Mediterranean mussel)
Lineage: Eukaryota; Metazoa; Mollusca; Bivalvia; Mytilida; Mytilidae
Source: RNAcentral